UUGGCUUUGCCUCCAGCUGUUUCUUUACAGACACGCUGAACGCCAGCAGGAGCCGGGGGCCAAGAUCAGCCCGUCGAGUCUGGCCACACGCAGGCCACUUAAGUGCACACGUACGCAGACACAGACGGCCACAGUUACUGCAAGCUCACGCAGAUAAAAACGGGGACGCUCCUGGCAACGGCAGCGACCAAGUUCACCAAAGCAGUGAGUGGCCAGGAAAGUGUCAUGUCAGCUAUAAUGUUUCAGCGUUUCCGCAGAAAGGGAACGGUCGGGAAAGGUUGCUGGCCGUUUGACUAUCUACAAGCUUGGACAAAAUGUGCAACGAUUCAUAAACGUUGGUAAAGAAUACCCACAAAUCUGGAGGACAUCCACCCUUGGCUGGAGAACAAAACAAAAGCCACCUCAGAAGUCAAUCACAGACA
Molecule: non-coding RNA, 422 nt
Organism: Poecilia reticulata (guppy)
Lineage: Eukaryota; Metazoa; Chordata; Actinopteri; Cyprinodontiformes; Poeciliidae
Source: RefSeq, a predicted model, not a curated record